GCUAAGAUUUUUCAUGAAUACGGGCCCUGAUCUUUCUCCGUCUGUAAAUGGCUUUUCUCUGAAAGCAUUGUAGUACAACUGUGAUCACACUAAUGGUCGUCAAAAACACGGUUACUAAACUUUUAAUUUUGGUAAGGGAGGAUCAGUUCGUGGAGACGGGGUAACCCACACCAGACGGCAGGGGCUGAAUUUCAGCCAUCCCAGCAGAAUGCCAACAGCCUGCCAUCUUCUGUCCUCCAGAAUGUUGCCAUGGCGAAGCCACAGGAGAUGACUGAUCUGAAAACAGAUGAGCUUGUGUUAUUGGAGAUUCCCGAAGAGACACGGAUACGACGACAAAGCCCAGUUUAAAGAGUUCACUUACACAGAGAUGUAGGAUCAUUUAUAGCUCUCGGGGUCUGUUCGUGAUCGAGGAGGAUUCGUUUAAAUAUACCUGGCAACACAUUUAGAUUUCAGCAUGCCUCAAUUAUUUCUCUUAUACAGCAAUACUGCGAAUUUAAAUGAAAAAUGAAACUUAUUUAAAAUCUAUUUCUCUCCAUGAAAUAGACUUUUGUACAUAUUAAACCAAUGAGACCAUAUUUAAUGUUCAGGUUUAAUAAAGGAUUUUAACACAGAUGGCUGCAGACGAACGGAGAUUUCAGCAGUAUGACUUCAUGGCUCAUUAUCAGCACUUCAGACGGCCAGGAAUGAUUGACUUUGCUCGACUCCACUGGACUCGUGUUGGUCUCGGGAGAUGACUGCAGGAGAAACCGGAUCCACAGCUGACAGAGCAGGAAACCCUGACGCCGAGCGAUGAUGUCAUCAGUGUUCUGUCAUGAGUCUCAGCCGCUGCUCGUCGUGAGCGCACACAAAUCACUUUACACAAGAUUACAUUGUAAGAACAAUGAUUCAAUGUUUUCCAAACCCACAGCUGAAUGAUAUUUCUCAGGGGUUUCUCUUUCACAGCUCAGGAGAAUUAAUGGAGUUCUCGGUCAGUUACGGUCAGUUUAUUGCUUAAGAAGUGAGAAAUGGAGCCUUUAUAGUUCAAAUUUGUGUGUUCAAAUAUAUUUUCCUGUCAAUAUAUUUGAUCAUUUAUGAUUUAUUUAAAAACAUAUCGACUUUAUUAAUGUAUUUAAAUUUUACAAUAUAUUGAAUAAUAAGGAAUUGUCACUUUUUAUAUAUUGAAAAACAUAAGCACUUGGUUACAAUGUAUGGAAAUGUUUUAUUUAAUAUAUUGCAUAGGCUUAUUUUUCCAGUAUAUUUCUGUUUAUGUUUGCAUGUGUUUAUGUGUGAAUUUGAGUGUUUGCCUUUUCUUGUUUUCUUGUUUUUUGUGUGUGUGCGCGUGUGUGCGUGCGUGUGCGUGCGUGCGUGCGUGCGUGUGUGUGUGUGUGUGUGUGUGUGUGUGUGUGUGUGUGUGUGUGUUUGUUUGUUUGUUUAGGUGCGUGUCAGUGUGUGUUUGACAGUAUUCCAGAUGAUUCCAGAUGUGUUUGUGAGCAGCUGAUAUCAGAACAGAACAUGUUGUGAAUAACAUCAUCAUGUGUCAGGUACACUGCAGUUUUAAAAGGCGUUUAAGGGCAUCAGAGAGUUUGUGUCAGAUCAUGUAAGAGUUUUGAUUGAUUGGUCAGGUGUGUGAUGAACGUCUCUCUGUGUGUCCUCUGGCCGUCUGUCUCUUCAUCAGUGGAACUGAGUCGAUAUAUCAGCGUGACAUGCAGCUCCGCAGGAAAGCAUCGCAUGCGGCCAAACAACCUGAUUUAAUUAAGAGCCGCCGUAAAAAUCACGGUUUCACAGAAUAUUUUCAUUCUGGAAUAGACUUUAAUGUAUGUAGAGUAUUACCCGUGAGGUUUGACCGCAGCAUUGAGAGGAGAUGUCAGAGAUUCACACAGCAGGUUCAUCACAUUCUGUGUGUGUGUGUGUGUGUGUGUGUACUGAUAUUCAUCACUGUGUGAGGACCUAACGUCCCCACAAAGAUAGUAAUGCCAGUAGAUUUUGGCCUUGUGGGGUCCCCAUGAGGCAAAACAAAUGAUAAAUCAUACAGAAUUAUAUUUAUUGAAAAUUAAAAAACGUAGAAAGGUUUGUGUGAGUAUUAGGUUUACGUGUUGGGGUGUAAUAUGGAAUGUUCCCAUAAAACAUGGAAACCAGUGUGUGUGUGCGUGCGUGCGUGCGUGCGUGCCUGCGUGUGUUUGUGAUGAUAGUGUCCAGCUGUAGGACACCACAGAGAAGUUUGUUAUCCUAACUGUCUCGACCUUUGACCCUCCUGUUUGCUGGAAUUUCAUGUUGCGAAUAAAAUAAAAACAGCAGCUGUAGUUUAUUUCCCCAACUCAGUGAAAGUUGAGUUUACGCUGGCUGAUAUUCAAAGGUCAUUCUCUCUUUCUCAAUGCUCUAAAUAUAGUGGAAUAAUACAGCAAACAUUAACAGAACAUUUGCUGUGUCUGAAACCGCUCCCUCGCUCACUCCUUCACUACUCCCUAUAGAGCCGAUGACAUUUGAGUCCACUACAUGUGGAAGAAAUGAAUGAAAAUGAGAUUUCGGACACUGACGUAUAAAGCCUGCAUCUGAGAGUCCUGUCCCAGAAGUUCAUAAUUAACACAACGAUUCGCUUAUAUUACACCUGUCUGGCUUUGUGGAUUGUUUUAUACAAAUACUCAAAUUCAUUUUCACUUGAUUUGUCCCGUUUAUUGUAUCAGUUUAAAAUAAAGAGAACAAAACAACCCUCACAUUUAUUUGCAGGCAUGCUUAUGUAUCACGUUUAAUACAAUUAUUUUAUAUAUUUAAAAUAAAACACCAGUGUUUAUGUAAUAAGUGUGUAUGAUCACACAUUCGUGGCAUUAACGGUCACUCUCCACCAGCUGAUUCUAAUCAAGCUGUCCUCUCGUGUUGCAAAGUGGGAAAUAAUGAAUGAGCGAGUGUACAUAGGAUGUGCACUCAACAGCAGAGUGCAUUGUGGGUAAAAAGAGUGAACGAAUGUAGGGAAUGAAGUUCACUCAGGUUUCGCACACCGCUACAGAAUGGCGGACACCCGAUAUAGUGCACUAUAUAGGAGAUAGGGAGCGGUUUCAGACACAGCUAUGCACUCUUCUCCCCUGUCAUGCUCACAGCUCUAGGUAGAGAUGAUUGGCUUCCCUUGGGGCAGCGGAUGUGUUUUCUCCCCCUGAGUGUAAACGCGGAAGUGGCCGUGCAUCGAGUGUAUCGUCUUUUCACAGGAGAAUCGUUUGACAAACAUGUAAACUGAAGUGUGACAUCUACUGUCCCGGAGGUGAUCGAGUCUCACACAGUCAGAAAAACUCCAUCAUGACAUCAGAAACACAGCAGCAUCUCAGACAGAUGGAGAGACGCAGACCGUGGUCCAUCACCAUGGCAACCGUCUCACAGAUGCAACUGGAUGACAGCUGCUGUUUCAGUAGGACUCCUCUUGAAUUAUUCCAUCAAACUUUCAGCUUCAUCUUCAUUCUGCACGUGACGCUUUAGAGAACAUUAUCUCAGUUUUCUUCAAGUGACUGUGUUCAAUGGCGACGUUUAAAGAAAAACAAGCUUACAUGAAGAUUGGCAUAAAAAGUUACCACAGGGAGCGAAAAAAAAUCAUUCUAAUGAAAGUGAGACUGGAUUUCGGCAGGAGGCACUGAAUUGAACCGCCCUCCUCUGACCCGAAAGAGAGAGAGAGAGAUCAGUUUCUCUCACUGUGUUCAGUGUAAAUCCAUCAUGUGACACAAGCUACUGUGUGUUCAAAACCUUUUCAGUCUUCAUGAUAAAGCACCAUUAGUUUGUGCCCUGAACGUGUAAAUGUUGUUUGUCAGAGCAGUUUGGCACAGACUCAAAAGAUUCAUACGCUACAAAAAUCAUGUACUAUAUACCACUAGUAAACAUGCAUUUAGUGUUUGACGAUGAUUUGAUGUUUAAUAACAGAUGUUGUGAUGGUUUCCCAUCGUGCCGUGUCUGACCUCAUGAAACGUUCACUGUGGAAGAAAACACACACACACACACACACACACACACACACACACACACACACACACACACACACACACACAGCGAGGUUCAUUAUGUCCCACCGACUCACAUGCUGGGCUAGUCCGCUCUUAUCACAGGAGUCGUGACGUGUGAUUGGUGGAGAGGAUCAGGUGACCGAACGGCCUCUCGGGAGGAAAAAUUCAGGUUUGCGUCUGAAGUUUCGUGUGGGGCUCGUUUUUCAUUGGUUAUUUAUGAAGUGUGGGAACGAGAAGCUUACGGGGCGGGGAGACACACCGACGCAUUGUGACCCGAUAGACGACUCCAAGGAUACCUGUUUCAUUCCACGGAACAAACGUGCGUGUGUGUCCUCUCAUGGGAUUGUACAGCACAUUGUGUAAACAAACUCUUUCCUCGUGUAACUCAAAUACAUCUCUAUUCAUCACAGGAGACGGCCCUCCUGCAUUUAAUGUCACAUUCCCAAAGAGAUCCCCUUCCAUCUGAACCAAACAUACAGUACACGUACACGUCAAGAGUAAAGACACCUUCUGUCACGUCUGAGUGAUUAUUAACUGCAUUGUGGCAUCAUACAUUCAAUUAAAACAUUAUAAUAAAUGUUGGGUCUUUAGUAAUCUGACAUUAUAGUCUCAUUUGAAACUAGUAUUAUGUGCUUCUUAUUUAUUUGAUUUACCAUGUAGACGUUUAAUGACCAAUAGAAAGAAAACAAUAACAAUGAGGAAAGAUCAGAAGCACACACACUCGCUCACACAUACAGGACAUACAGUGGUCAGUAUAACACGUUUAUGUAAAUAGUGCAUUGUUUCAAUCAGUUUUACAAGAAAAUACAAAAUAAUAUUUCAAAUGUAACUUAUGCAAUCAAAUACUCUACAUGACAUUAUUAAAACUGUAUUGCCCUUAUAGAAAGGUUUUUGUUUACUUUUAAUAGACUAGGACAUAAAAAACAGGUAUCAUAAUGGAGCAGACAUUAUUAAGAACAGCAAAUUAUAUAAGAACAGGAGUAACAGAGAGAGAGAGAGAGAGAGAGACAGAGAGAGAGAGAUGGAGAGAGAGACAGAGAUGGAGAGAGAGAGAGAGACAGAGAGAGAGAGAGAGAUGGAGAGAGAGAGACAGAAAGAGAGAGAGAGAGAGACAGAGAGAGAGAGAGAGAGAGAGAGAGAGAGAGAGAGAGAGAGAGCAGCAGUACUGUAGGCACAGUAAACAGUGUGUCAGCAUCAUUACUCAACACCUGAUGAUUAUUUACACACAAACAUGCGGCUGGCAGAGAUGUGGUGACGCAUCAGAAAGCAUCUGCUGUCUGUCUCAGAGCUCAGGGUUCCUGAGGACAAACACUGACCCCGGUUCAGUGCUAACACACUAAUGUCUCGAAUGAGUUUAAAACGGCUGAAUCCUCCUCCUUCAGGAUCAAGAGCUUUAAAUGAUUAUUUAUCGCAAAUCAUCACUAUUCACAUUGUGUGUGUGAGCGUGUGAGCUUGUAAUUACACACAUUCAGUGAGCUCUGGUCUACUAUCCGACGAGUAAACCCAAGGUUUGGAAGUCCCCUCUGUCAGGAGACCACACACACACACACACACACACACACACACACACACACACACACAUGCGUCAUUUCCACAUAACCACAUUUCCACACAAUCCGUGUAAGAUUAAACACUCACUAUUUUCAAGUCCAAUUUAAAAACCUAUUUUUAUAGUUUGGCAUUGAACUCUGAAAAUUUGAAAUUUUUCUCUCUGAAAUUUUUAUUUCAUUUUAAUCUAUUUUUCUCUUAUCUAAUCUUACUUACAAACGUUUUAAUAGUUGGUCUUUUUGAUAUUCUUGUAUUGUAUUGCUUAUGCUUGUACAGCACUUUGGCGAUCACUUGUUUCUUUAAAGUGCUUUAUAAAUAAAGUUUGACUUGACUUGACUUCAGACAGUUCAGGUUCACUGUAAUCAUUUGUCCCAUCUGUUUCAUGACACUUUUCAUUUAUGAUCGGCGCACCUCCUGACGGUUUAUGAACAUCACGCUGUCUUCAAGAGACCUCGUUUAGGUUGAAUUCUGAGGCACUAUCACAUAAAUCCAGAAAUCACCGUAACCUCAGUCAAAGAUAAGAUUUCAGAAGGAGAACGUGUGUAUUAUCUCCAUAUUUUGUGUAUUUUUUGCCACAAAUCAUUAUUAGUCGCCCUUUAUGUUUGUCACUGCUUGCAAAUAUCUAACCAAUAAAAACGUAUGAGGAAGUGCUUGUCAACUCUGACAACAGCGUUUAAUUUCAUAAAAGUAAAGAGUUUUUUCCCAUUUCAUGAGAAACGGAAUUUAGACAUCAAGGUUUUAUGAAGGACAGCGAUGGUAUGUGUGGACAGACGGGGGAUUUCUGUUGUGUUCGAGUGUGUCUGGACUUCAUGAUUUGUAUCUUAAAAUAGAUUCUCUCAGCUCUGUUGUGUGUUUGUUUGUCGAGGUCACCCGCGCCGCGUUUAUCAAGACGUAGGCCAGUCAUUUUCCAAGAGCCACACACAGACCUAAUGACAGCUGAACACACACACACAGCCCUGUUCUCGCUUGCACGAUAUCACCACGGCAACACCACCACUCGAUAUGUUCAAGACCAAUGGUGAGGGAUGUUUGAGGAAACACCCACUCCGGUCUGCACACGUGAUUGGCUAAUGAACUUCUGUCGUUGAGAAGUCACACGAGAAACACGCUGCACGCACCACUUUAGGAAGAUGACAAGAAAACUAAACGCAACACAAUCUCUUAUUCAAAUCACCGUGGUAUUAUUACAGUAAAAGUGCAGUAACCAGUAGAUUCGUCUGGUCUAAAUCUCUUAUUCACCAUCAAAACCAGUUGAAAUUCUUUGUGAGCGAGUUGAGACCUCAGUUCAGGAUUGGGAAUGUUUGGAAUAGCUCCAGUGGGAUAUUUUCUCUUUUCCAUCUGUAUGUGGUGUGUGUUUAAGCUGCACAGAACCGUGAAGGGUCCAGUCCGAACGCCACACGCUUCCCUUUUGUUUUCCUGGAGUCUGUUGGUUUUCUUGUGUUGAGUUAAAGACAUUGAAGUGGGUGAGAUAUUCUGAGGUUUCCGGAGAGAGAGCUCCACCCCAGUGAUAACAGAUCACGAUACACAAUACACACAGCCUUAUUUCUCACAGGUUUCUCUUUUAGAGCUCAGGAGUUCUCACUUUAAGUAUCAACUCAGUCUCAGAUGUUUCUCCUAAAAUUGGUUUUAAGAAAAUAAUAUCAAUCUUGACUAUUCUGUUCAUACUGAGAUAGUAUAUAUACAGUAGAUACUUUAUACUUUUAUUUUUAUCUUAAUCUGUAUUUGUGCAGAAUGUUUAUAUUACAUUUGGCAAUGUAAACAUUUGUUUUAUCAGGCCAAUAAAGCUUCUUUGAAUCAAACGAGAGUGUAAUCGUGUAAACACAUGAAGAGUAUGGAAGUGUGAAUAAAUGUUGAUUGUUGAGGUGAAAUCAUCUGUGAUUUGAUUAAAUGAGAUGAGAAAUGUUU
This is a long non-coding RNA of Triplophysa rosa, 7409 nucleotides long. RefSeq lists it as uncharacterized. NCBI's taxonomy places the organism in Eukaryota, Metazoa, Chordata, Actinopteri, Cypriniformes, Nemacheilidae. The record is from RefSeq and is a predicted model, not a curated record. The transcript is spliced from 3 exons.